Molecule: long non-coding RNA, 482 nt
Filed under: Nicotiana benthamiana
Lineage: Eukaryota; Viridiplantae; Streptophyta; Magnoliopsida; Solanales; Solanaceae
Description: long non-coding RNA (NBEN_LNC038343)
Source: RNAcentral
GCCGCCUCUGAAUCCCUCUCAUUCUUAUAUCGUCUCUAUAACAACCCUAAACCCUAGCUGCCGGCACCCUAAUCCAUGGCUUUCCAUGGUCGUCCAAGACCUAUAUCAACAUUCUAUGGCUUCUACGUGUUUGGUUAUGUGGUCUUAUGACCAGAUUCUGAAGGGGCUUGGUUCAGUCUUUGCUCGAUGGCCUUUCUUCGGUCAUCUCUGACCUUUCUCUGGCGAGCGAUGGCCAUUCGAGUCAGAACUGUGACUUUCCUGUUUAGAUCGGUAGCUUUCAAGGCCUUUCUUGUUGCUUUCGGUUCUUCUGAAACCUUAAUCUCUAAGACCUUUUCGACUUCUUUCAGGUUUACCUUAGAUCUAUGCUUGCUAUAAGUUUUCUUGAAGCUUCUUUAAUUUUUCUUUCAAAAAAGACUCUUUAUCUUUUUCCGUUUAGGGCUUUCCUUCAAGUUCUUCUUUUCAAAAUCUUUUCUGAGUUUACC